AUGAUGAUCACUCAUCUAAUGCUCCUUGAUUUGAUAGAGUACAGGUGCCAACUUCCAAGACUUCUGCGAAGAGAGCAUUUCAGGGCUUUUCCAACAGUAGAACAAUAGUAAUGUCUGCAGCAGAUGUGGAUGAAUGAUUUUUUUUUAUCAUGUAGACUUCAAAAAUUUUGACUGUUUCAUAUGUUUUUCUGUUGAAAUCGAGUCUAGAAGUCAUUAUUACAGGAACCCUAUGGACUUCAAUUUUGGAUUGAAACAACAUUAAUAGUUUACAUGGAAUUGAGUAAAAAUGUGUGGAUUUGUGGCCUGCUUAGGAGACAAAGGGUGAAGCAGACACUCAUUUGUGCUUAUGUGAGUAAAUUUGUGUGAGGAUUGUUGAUUAGGG
This 382-nucleotide unclassified non-coding RNA is filed under the name Hevea brasiliensis (rubber tree). The record is from RNAcentral. Lineage: Eukaryota; Viridiplantae; Streptophyta; Magnoliopsida; Malpighiales; Euphorbiaceae.